UACGGAAGGGGCAAGCGUUGUUCGGAAUCAUUGGGCGUAAAGGGCGCGUAGGCGGUUUCGUAUGUCCGCUGUGAAAUCACACGGCUCAACCGUGUUGGGUCGGUGGAAACUGCGAGACUUGAGGCUGGAAGGGGCUGGUGGAAUUCCCCAUGUAGCGGUGAAAUGCGUAGAGAUGGGGGAGAACACUCGUGGCGAAGGCGGCCAGCUGGACCAGUUCUGACGCUGAGGCGCGAAAGCGUGGGGAGCAAACAGGAUUAGAUACCCGCGUAGUCC
Molecule: ribosomal RNA, 273 nt
Filed under: uncultured bacterium
Lineage: Bacteria
Description: partial 16S ribosomal RNA
Rfam family: Bacterial small subunit ribosomal RNA
Source: RNAcentral